UUCUGCGUACUCAAGUGGUUACGAGGUCAGCCUGCUAAGUUGAUGCCCGCAAGGGCGCACGAGUUCGAGUCUCGUCGCAGUCG
This 83-nucleotide transfer RNA is filed under the name Capsaspora owczarzaki ATCC 30864. RNAcentral's name for it is "tRNA-Ser". It matches the Rfam family "tRNA". From Rfam's summary of the family: Transfer RNA (tRNA) molecules are approximately 80 nucleotides in length. Their secondary structure includes four short double-helical elements and three loops (D, anti-codon, and T loops). Lineage: Eukaryota; Filasterea; Ministeriida; Capsasporidae. The record is from RNAcentral.